CUGUGGGACACCCCUCCCCAACGAGGGGUAGCGAGCAUUC
Roseibium sp. TrichSKD4 is the source of this 40-nucleotide regulatory RNA element. It matches the Rfam family "serC leader". Rfam says of the family: This family is a putative regulatory RNA structure that is found upstream of the serC-serA operon in some alpha-proteobacteria. The final stem of the structure overlaps the ribosome binding site of the serC reading frame. Lineage: Bacteria; Pseudomonadati; Pseudomonadota; Alphaproteobacteria; Hyphomicrobiales; Stappiaceae. The record is from Rfam.